Long non-coding RNA from Thunnus maccoyii (southern bluefin tuna), 979 nucleotides. RefSeq lists it as uncharacterized. The record is from RefSeq and is a predicted model, not a curated record. NCBI's taxonomy places the organism in Eukaryota, Metazoa, Chordata, Actinopteri, Scombriformes, Scombridae. The transcript has 4 exons.
UCCAGUAUCACAAGAAAACACCAAUACCCAUCAUGCACCGUGUGUCUUCGCUCUCUCUUAGUUAGUAUCAGGCUCAAGUCCUCCUCCAGCCCACCUAAGAAACAGCCUUUAAAUUUCUGUCAAGAUUCACUUUAUUGUCUCACAUUGUAGGAAAUUUGGAUCAGACUUCCACCCAUGCUGCAUCCAUAAAAACCAUUCCACAUACAUAAAAGACAGAGUAAGACAGCUACAGGGAACAAGAAACACAUCUAAGAACAUAAUAAUAAAACAUACAGUUAAAAAGACAGAAAAAACAUGCACUGAUGUUAGAUAGAUAAAAACCUAUAGUACAGAAAAAAAAGUACAGAAAGGUGCAAAAACUGGAAAAUAGUCAAUCAUCAACAGAUAAGUAACAAUAAAGCUCUGUUGGUUUUUAUAUCAGUUUCAUCUUUAUUUCAUUUGUUACCAUUUCAUUUUUUAUUUUUUUUUAUUGAAGUAGGGAUAAAAGAGUUUUUUUAAUCUAUUCAUAAACCUCUUCCCUGAUGGCAGUAGCUGGUACUCAGUGUUUAACACAUGGGCUAGGUCAGUUAUUAUCUUGUUGGCGUGCCUCAGAACAGCCUGCAGGGAUGGAUGCUGUCUUACACCUAUUAUCUUCCAUGCAGUCUGCGUGAGUCGGACUAGUUUGGACUUCAAUUGCACACAGAGGUUACCAAACCAAGCUGCGAUGCCGUAUCUAAUUAAUGGAUCUACAGCACAAUGGAUACAGCUAUCAUCAGAGGCAGCCGUCUCCUGCUUGCCUGCUUGCCUGCUUGCCUGCCUGCCUGCCUGCCGGCCUGCCUGCCUGGCGGCCUGCUUGCUCUCGCUCACUUUCUCUUGAUGCCCUAAAAUCACCGUGUCCCUGUGAGGCCAGGGUAAAGAGGCCAAAGGAUGUAUGGACAAACCUGUGGUGAGAGGCUGUUGCUGAUGGCGGGGUUGACAGAGUUGGCGUGUCCUGUCGGGG